UACGAGGGGGGCAAGCGUUGUUCGGAAUUAUUGGGCGUAAAGGGCGCGUAGGCGGUGUCGCAAGUCCGUGGUGAAAUCUCUAGGCUCAACUUAGAGACUGCCGCGGAAACUGCGAUGCUUGAGUGUGGGAGAGGUGCGUGGAAUUCCCGGUGUAGCGGUGAAAUGCGUAGAUAUCCGGAGGAACCCCAGGGGCGAAGGCGACACGCUGGGCCGUACCUGACGCUAAAGCGGGACAGCAUGGGGAGCAAACGGG
RNAcentral lists this ribosomal RNA (253 nucleotides) under uncultured bacterium. RNAcentral describes it as "partial 16S ribosomal RNA". It matches the Rfam family "Bacterial small subunit ribosomal RNA", at positions 524 to 776 of the family's 1533-position model. The record is from RNAcentral.